This 255-nucleotide ribosomal RNA is filed under the name uncultured bacterium. Its description in RNAcentral is "partial 16S ribosomal RNA". It matches the Rfam family "Bacterial small subunit ribosomal RNA", at positions 524 to 776 of the family's 1533-position model. The record is from RNAcentral.
UACGGGGGGAGCAAGCGUUGUUCGGAUUUACUGGGCGUAAAGGGCGCGUAGGCGGCCAGCACAAGUCAGUUGUGAAAUCUCCGAGCUUAACUCGGAACGGUCAACUGAUACUGUGCGGCUAGAGUGCAGAAGGGGCAACUGGAAUUCUUGGUGUAGCGGUGAAAUGACGUAGAUAUCAAGAGGAACACCUGCGGCGAAGGCGGGUUGCUGGGCUGACACUGACGCUGAGGCGCGAAAGCUAGGGGAGCGAACGGG